AAAAUCUCAGACACACUAGGUGUGUGCGUGAGAUCGAUCAGGAUGAGGAGAAAAUGGGUGUAAACCCUAGUUCACAAGCAAGCUUCAAAUUGACAAGGAGAUUAGGCUCAAAUCCGAUGCAUGAACUCGUUUUCUUGACAAUCUAUCCCUAGCAAGCAUGUGGAGUCAUGUCAAGACGGACUCAAGCAUGAAAGGCUAACGGGUCAAGAGGAGGCAAGGAAUCGGAUACGAACCCGGAUGCACAAGGUAGUACGAGUCAUGAGGAUCAUCAAGGAACAGAGAUCGAGGA
Long non-coding RNA from Helianthus annuus (common sunflower), 289 nucleotides. RefSeq lists it as uncharacterized. The record is from RefSeq and is a predicted model, not a curated record. NCBI's taxonomy places the organism in Eukaryota, Viridiplantae, Streptophyta, Magnoliopsida, Asterales, Asteraceae. The transcript is spliced from 3 exons.